UAGCCAUAGAAGGGUUGAAAUCUGAGUCCAAAGAAAAUUGUACACCAAGAAAAUUAUAGAUACUAUUAAUACAGAGGAUCAUCACCCAUGUUCUGCCUUCUAUGGAGGGCUGAACUGCAAGCAAUGUGUGGAAGUUACAAAGAGGCUUGAUAUCAGAAAAAACUUCGCAACAAUGAGACCUAUUCAAAAAAGAAAUGGAGGGAGCAGGCCCCUUUCUUCAAACAA
This is a non-coding RNA of Phascolarctos cinereus (koala), 225 nucleotides long. The record is from RefSeq and is a predicted model, not a curated record. Lineage: Eukaryota; Metazoa; Chordata; Mammalia; Diprotodontia; Phascolarctidae.